CUAGGCUGCUCCUAUUAGCCAUAGAUAGAAUAAACUUGGAUGAUACAAGAAGAUUAGUAUGACCCCUUGUAAGGAAGAUAUGCAAAUUCAUGAAACAUUCUAUAUUGUU
This is a small nuclear RNA of Cavia aperea (Brazilian guinea pig), 109 nucleotides long. NCBI's taxonomy places the organism in Eukaryota, Metazoa, Chordata, Mammalia, Rodentia, Caviidae. The record is from Ensembl.